Molecule: regulatory RNA element, 196 nt
Organism: Prevotella sp. CAG:755
Lineage: Bacteria; Pseudomonadati; Bacteroidota; Bacteroidia; Bacteroidales; Prevotellaceae
Source: Rfam
AAUUUUGUCGGCGAAGGCGGUCCGGACGUUGCUGUCCGGCCAAGAGGGAACGCCGUGAGAGCCGGCGACAGUACCCGCUGCUGUGAGUCCCGUUGUACGUCGAAACAAGACAGCCACUGCCGGCACCGCGGGCCGGUGGGAAGGCGUUUCGGAGCGUGGGACGAGUCAGAAGACCUGCCGCCGAGAUGAGUCGCUG